This 1372-nucleotide ribosomal RNA is filed under the name uncultured bacterium. RNAcentral describes it as "bacterial SSU rRNA". It matches the Rfam family "Bacterial small subunit ribosomal RNA", at positions 28 to 1381 of the family's 1533-position model. The record is from RNAcentral.
GAUAAACGCUGGCGGCGUGCCUAAUACAUGCAAGUCGAGCGAACGGACGAGAAGCUUGCUUCUCUGAUGUUAGCGGCGGACGGGUGAGUAACACGUGGAUAACCUACCUAUAAGACUGGGAUAACUUCGGGAAACCGGAGCUAAUACCGGAUAAUAUUUUGAACCGCAUGGUUCAAAAGUGAAAGACGGUCUUGCUGUCACUUAUAGAUGGAUCCGCGCUGCAUUAGCUAGUUGGUAAGGUAACGGCUUACCAAGGCAACGAUGCAUAGCCGACCUGAGAGGGUGAUCGGCCACAUUGGAACUGAGACACGGUCCAGACUCCUACGGGAGGCAGCAGUAGGGAAUCUUCCGCAAUGGGCGAAAGCCUGACGGAGCAACGCCGCGUGAGUGAUGAAGGUCUUCGGAUCGUAAAACUCUGUUAUUAGGGAAGAACAUAUGUGUAAGUAACUGUGCACAUCUUGACGGUACCUAAUCAGAAAGCCACGGCUAACUACGUGCCAGCAGCCGCGGUAAUACGUAGGUGGCAAGCGUUAUCCGGAAUUAUUGGGCGUAAAGCGCGCGUANGCGGUUUUUUAAGUCUGAUGUGAAAGCCCACGGCUCAACCGUGGAGGGUCAUUGGAAACUGGAAAACUUGAGUGCAGAAGAGGAAAGUGGAAUUCCAUGUGUAGCGGUGAAAUGCGCAGAGAUAUGGAGGAACACCAGUGGCGAAGGCGACUUUCGGGUCUGUAACUGACGCUGAUGUGCGAAAGCGUGGGGAUCAAACAGGAUUAGAUACCCUGGUAGUCCACGCCGUAAACGAUGAGUGCUAAGUGUUAGGGGGUUUCCGCCCCUUAGUGCUGCAGCUAACGCAUUAAGCACUCCGCCUGGGGAGUACGACCGCAAGGUUGAAACUCAAAGGAAUUGACGGGGACCCGCACAAGCGGUGGAGCAUGUGGUUUAAUUCGAAGCAACGCGAAGAACCUUACCAAAUCUUGACAUCCUUUGACAACUCUAGAGAUAGAGCCUUCCCCUUCGGGGGACAAAGUGACAGGUGGUGCAUGGUUGUCGUCAGCUCGUGUCGUGAGAUGUUGGGUUAAGUCCCGCAACGAGCGCAACCCUUAAGCUUAGUUGCCAUCAUUAAGUUGGGCACUCUAAGUUGACUGCCGGUGACAAACCGGAGGAAGGUGGGGAUGACGUCAAAUCAUCAUGCCCCUUAUGAUUUGGGCUACACACGUGCUACAAUGGACAAUACAAAGGGCAGCGAAACCGCGAGGUCAAGCAAAUCCCAUAAAGUUGUUCUCAGUUCGGAUUGUAGUCUGCAACUCGACUACAUGAAGCUGGAAUCGCUAGUAAUCGUAGAUCAGCAUGCUACGGUGAAUACGUUCCCGGGUCU